This 421-nucleotide unclassified non-coding RNA is filed under the name soil metagenome. RNAcentral's name for it is "partial contains 5.8S ribosomal RNA, internal transcribed spacer 2, and large subunit ribosomal RNA". The stretch from base 1 to 120 matches the Rfam family "5.8S ribosomal RNA", at positions 35 to 154 of the family's 154-position model. The record is from RNAcentral.
GAUGAAGAACGUAGCUAAAUGCGAUACGUAAUGUGAAUUGCAGAAUUCAGUGAAUCAUCGAAUCUUUGAACGCAUAUUGCGCUCUUUGGUAUUCCGAAGAGCAUGCUUGUUUGAGUAUCAGUAAACACCUCAACCUCUUCUUGAUUUUUCAAAAGGAGGGUGGACUUGAGCUAUCCCAACAACCUUUACCGGUCGGCGGGCGGCUUGAAAUGCAGGUGCAGCUGGACUUUUAUCUGAGCUAAAAGCAUAUCUAUUUAGUCCUCGUCAAACAGGAUUAUUACUUUUGCUGCAGCUAACAUAAAGGAUAAUUGUCCUCUUUGCUGACUGAUGCAGGAUUUUACGACACUUUAUGUGUUGUUCAACUCGAUCUCAAAUCAAGUAAGACUACCCGCUGAACUUAAGCAUAUCAAUAAGCGGAGGA